GUGCUUUUCUAACAUCUCAGAAUAGGUUAACUUUUGAUCUAUAAAAAAACACUUAGCUGAGAUCCAUUUACAUCCAUUAAUGAUAUUAAAGUUCUAGGUCUCUAAUAAUUUCACCGGAGGAAGAGGAAGCAUUAGAAAAACAACCUUUCCACUGAGAUUUUGAAUAUUAAAUGUUAAUAGUGUUUAAGUGCUUUUUUUCAAUGUCUGCCCGUCAUCUUACAUCUAAAGGGGUUUUUCAGACUCACGUCAUGAGCUGAACUACACAUUAGCAUUCCGAUCUACAGGCUUAUGGACUUAGCCAACGUACUUCCUGCUGGAGACAUACAUUAUACUGCCAGAGGGAACAUAAACAAUAAUCUUCUUAAGGUGUGAGCUGCUCCUACAGCAGUUAUAGCAAGCCCUUACUCAAGCAAUUUACAGUAUCUGAAGACGAGGUGGUGACUGGCACUGUACCAUAAUGUGUCAUCGUAGUGCAGUUAUCUGCUCUGUCAUUUGGCACAUAACUAAAAUUAUCAUGAUGAAAAUUUGAUUUUAAUUAAGAUUAAUUUCUCCAAACCUGCACAGAUGCCAACAAUGUUGCCAAGUCACUUGAAUAGCGCAAAACAGGCCUUUAACAGAGUGCUAUUUGACAGUUGAGAGUGCAGAAAAGGUGAACAGGUGAAAGGAAUAUUAACAGUGGCUGAUUUAGGUGGCAUAGUAAGCUGCAUUCACUACAGAGACCAGGGGCAUCUCCAUGGAAUGCAGCCAUAAUUAAUGUCAUUGAUUACACCAGAGCUUUUCAUGCUAUGAUGUGACGGAGGCUCUAUUGUUUGCCUUUGAUUAGGGAUAAUUUUUACUAACAGCAAAUUUUCCACUAUUGCAGUCUUUUUAAUCAACAUCAGGCGAGCAUCUGUUGAGGGUUCGUUAGCAAACAAGCAGCUCAGCAGGCUGUAAUCUGUCUUAGCUGUUGAGGCACCGACUGAACUCAGUAAGAGAUAAGAAAACCUGAAAGCAGCAGAAGAGAAAGCAGACCCUACACUUUUUUUGCAGCAAAAAUAAACAGAAAAAAAAUAGCCAUCUGAUUUACAUUCAAUCUUGAGUUUUUAUGAGUUCAGUUUUAUCUCUUCUUAUACUCAGUUUUGAAUUUGUUUCAGUGGAUGAGUGUUCAUUUUAAAUGAUUAUUUUAACAUGAUCUGUUUGUUUUAACUCCAAGCAACUCCAACAUCUAUUGAAGUUCAAAUGCACGUGUGAAUUUCACUGUAUUUCAUCCAGAAGCCAGUUUUAUCUCUAUGUCCAAAGCCAAACAAAUGUAAAUUUUCAUCAAUCAAAGGUCAGAGCUUUGCGUGAAGACAAAGGACUCACUGAGACACUUUUUCCUCCCAACACAGGAUUUCCACCACACUUUGGAAUAUGCAGCACAAGUUACAUCUUUGCACAGCAUGUGUAGACUUCAGGCUGCUGACUUUGACCCCUAGCUGUUAUUAGAUUAACUUUAGUUCAUCUGGCCCUCACAGAGAAGGUCACAGAAACUUCCUAUAGUCUUUUCCAGUGGUUAAUCUACCUCUGCUCUAUAUGUGCUCUAGAGGACAUCUAUUUAAGAUCUGAGCCGAGUUCCUUAUCACUUCUCAACUCAUGGCAGGGCUUUCAGUGUAAUGGCUAACGGAGUGAUAGGUGAUGUUUUAGCAGGCUUGUAUAAUAUAUAAUCUCAGUGGACGCAGCACUAAUGGAAAGUGUUGUAGAUUUGUAGAUAGAGUUUGUAGAGGAGUGAGCUGAGGUUUUUUUAGACUGACUGUUGUAGCGUCUGCUGUGCUGCCCUCGUCUACCUCUUAAGUCAAAGCAGGAAGAAGAUCCAAGGCCAGGUCUGAAGAGGUUUACAAACCUCCCCUAAAUUCUUCCCUGUGGGUGAAAUCAUGUGAAAGCUGCUUAGGCAGAUUAUCCCUGCCUCGACGGCAGCUGGCAGCGAGAUCCUUGGGAGUGCACCUGACUCAAUAUUCGCUGUGACGCAACUGCAGCCGGUGGCGCAGCGUGCUCUCACAAUCCGCCAUGACCUUUAGCCCCGGAGGGAGAAGUGCAUCUUGAGGACAAACGCACGUAGGAAAAAAGACUAAUCAACAUACGAGCAAUCAGAUUAAAGAACAUUUAGACAUGUUUAAUCUGUCACAAAUGAAGCAUGAUAAUCACUUAAUUGGAUUUUUCAGGAAUGUGUUUUAAGCAAUUUAGAUUGUGUGAUUAUGAAAGAAUACUGAAAUACUAAGUGACAGUGAAUGUUACCUAACCUACACUACUGCUCAAAAGUUUGGGGUCACCCAGACAAUUUCAUGUUUUCCAUGAAAACUCACACUUUUUUUCAUGUGCUGAAAUAAAUGCACAGGGGUUUUGUAAUCAUCAAUUAACCUUUCAACACCAUUAGCUAACACAAUGUAGCAUUAGAACACAGGAAGCUAGAAUAGUCAUUUACCACAUUAACGAUGCCUAAACUGUAUUUCUGAUUCAUUUAAUGUUAUCUUCAUUGAAAAAAAGCUUUUCUUUCAAAAAUAAGGACAUUUCUAAGUGAUGUUUAGUCAUAGUGUACGUUUAACCCUAAAUUUGACUAAUUGCAUAUAUGAAAGGAUAAAAUUCCUUAUAAGAUGAAUCAACUGAGUAAUUUUGUUCUGAUAUCAGUUUACCGACAACCUUCUUCUUGUACAUUUACUGAUGAGGAACAAAACUAUAAUUCCCCUAUUUUUUACCAACAGCAUUCCUGGUGUUUACACUGUUAGUCUUUAAGAUGAAGACAGGCAUUCAAAAUUCGCCAAAGAUUAAUAAAAUCUUUUUGAAAAAGCAUCAGCAAUAUCCAAAAUGAAAUCAUAAAAAGGCAGCAGUUGUUAAAAAAAAAAAAAAAAAAAUGAAAUAAUUAAAUAAAAGAAGCAGAACUGCAUAAGGAAAUAUUAUCUGGCAGCCAAUGUCAUAGCUGCUUCACCUGAUAUUCUCAUUUCUAUAGUCACUCAACUCUUUUUUGUGUCGAUGAUGGACAUAUUCAAAUGUGACUAAUGUGAAAAUGAAUCCAUAGUAGAGUGUAAAACUCUCCAGCUCUCUGACAGCUGCUGUCACUUGAUUUUUGAUGGUGAGUAUCAUUGUAUAGUGAUUCAGCUACACUGCAUUUCCUCCAUCAUGUGUUCUUAUCUAUAGCCGCUACUUAAGGAUGUUUUAAAUCUGAGCAAGUGAAGCUUAUUUUUGUGUGCACACAUUUGUCAGACGCCGGAAAUUUACAUGUAGAUGGAAAGUGUCAUUUUUCUAAAUUAGGUGAAGGCAUAAGGAGGGGAUGGUCUCCUUCCAAGUAUAUUUUAAUGAAGUCCCAGGUGUGCUGUCACCUCAUGAAAACACAAUGCUCCAAUAAAAUCCAUGUCCUAUCACACUCAGCCACUGAGGCAAGUUUUAUUAAAAAUGAAGAGACUUCAGUUUUAAUGCUGCACACAGGAGCCUUUGCCAGGUCAAAGCCAAGAAAAAACAAUCAAUGGCAGACCAAUGCCGAAGUGAGAAAUACUUUUGUUUUCAGGGGAUGCAGAGGCAAACUAUGGAGCUUGGAGCUCCUGAAAUACUUUCCAUUCUUUAGACAUUUUCAGGGUCUAUUAUUCAACCACUAAAUAUAUCAAUACUGUCUGGACAGCAACUAUAAUUUUUGAUUUAUAUAUUCUGUAGUGAAUCACGCAGAGUAAUGCAAAAAGAAAUCACUGGUGGGCAAGAUGAGUAAGCCAUAAAACAGACGAAACAGGGCAUCAAAUAAAAUGCUCAGAUAUAAGCAAUUCCAGCUUUAUUUUUGCUAAUGCUUUGUAGACUUUCUGUGAAUUCAGAGUUCUUCUUUAGUACUCUGAAUCAUUUUUUUCAACACAAACUGUCCCAUUACUUCCAUUUGUAUUUCAUCAGUUUUCAAAGUGUUAAGCUGAAUGGAGAAAAAUGACACACGCAAUCAUAAAAAUGUACAAAUUAACCUAAAAUUUUCACUAAAAACAUUAUUUCAGAUAUUAUUACAGAGCAGCUCAAAGUUGUAAAAAAUAUGUUGCUUUACUACACACAAUUGCAACUUAAAGAGGUAAGAAAUAGUGCUUUAGUAAGAAUUGGAAUUGUAACUGGCACUAUAUAAAUAAAAUUGAAUUGAAUAGCUACAUGGAAAGUGGUAUUCCUUAAAAGUCUGUGUACGCCAUUUUAAAUCACUAUUAACAUGAAUAACAGCAGUUUUGACAAAAAACAAAUUCUUUAAAAAAUAAAAAAAAUCCUGAUCAACAGACAUAACUGUAAAAGCACUUUCAUCUGGCUAUCUUAGCUUGUUUCUACACAAAAUAUAAAUAAAGUUAUUUUGUUGCUCAUGCUCAAUGUCUUGACAAAUGAACACAUUGGUUUAAUAGGAGCUUUCACUUCCUCGAUUUGUAAAAUUCGUUAUAUGCACAUAACUGUCAGCAACUCCACUCAUGAGAAGUGAAAGGUAAUUGUAGAAAUGGCAACAGCUGAAAUGUGGUGAGGUCUGGUUUUCCUCUUGCUGUCUUUCUGCACAGUUGUACAGUUAUGUUUUAAAAGUAGGGAAUUUAUCACUGUGGCCCUCUGUUUUGUCUCAGGCAGCUGUUUUAUGGGGAGUUAUUUAUUGAUGUAGUCAAUAUCUGUCUUUAAAACUUCUUGUCAUAUUUCACUGUAUAAUGGAGAUGACUGUAAAUCACAUGAAGCACCUCAGUAUAAGAAGCAUAGCACUAGCAUCCAUCUCUGCAAAAAUUGUUCACAUUUGAUGUAGAGCAAAGACAAAGUUGUCUUGUUCAUGAAUGUUUUGAAAGUGGAAACACACAGGAGUAAAUCCAGUCAAAAAAUAAGUCAGAUUUGUGCAAAAAAAAUCAGAUUUUUAAACUUGGAUUUGUAAUAUAUAAUAGAGUCUGAAAGAUAAAUCAGUGGUGAAAAUGUCAUUAAACAUGUCACAAAAAAGGUCUGAAGUCUGAUUUGACUCUAAUGUAAAGUCAAGGACUGAGAGAUUACACAAAGUAGCCUUCACCCGCUCACCGCAACGCUUAAGCCAGAGCGCAUCCUGUCUCAGAGGGGCCCGACUCGUGAUGUGUUCUACACAUUGCAGCCGAUACUUGGCCGGCACCGUGCUCCCAAAAUAGAUGGCAGUUCCAGAUAGGUGGGCUGUGAGGAGAAACUGAGAGAAAGUGGGAAAGGAAGUGCGAGUGGGAAGCAUGAUAAUGUAACCAAAGACAAGAAGAUCAGCGUUGUGUGUCUGCAAUCUGCUGCCCUGCACUCCUACAUUUAUUGUGUUUGCUGACGUGGGAACCGGCGCUCUUGUCAGGCUCUUCACUGAAGGCCAAUUACGUCAUUCUUUGGAAAGUCUGACCAACAGCGGCCAGACAAUCUUGUUAGACGGCCGUGAUGGGCAGACACACCAACUGAGACAUGCAGAUGCAGGAUCACACAGUUUCACAAUGUAGCAUGGAUGAAAACACACUCAAGCUAAGACAACCACUGUGAUGUGUUUCCCCCUCUUAAAUCCACGCAAUAAAGCGAGAGCACAGAGACCCAUACAUGUCUAUGCGCUGAAGUGGGCUGUGGAGACCGGAGGCUUACCCAACAGAGUUAUAAAUAACUGGACGGCCUGCACCUUAAGAUGGUUUUGUCUGGGUGGAGGGCGCUCAGAGUUCAAUGUAACCUGACAACUUAAUCCCUUGUAAGAGAGAGAGAGAGACACUGGGAGAUCGGUGAACGUGGUGCCGUCUCGGAUUUCCAGGCUACUGUUGCUUAUUAGCACUUAGAGAGAAGCUGCAAACAUUGGUUCUUAUUUGGACUCAGAUCAGCUUGUCACUCACGUGCGCUUAUUUAAGUCCACACUGUCCUGAUACACUUUAGCCCUUACUGGCGAAUUAAUAAUUUACUGUAGCUUUAGUAUAUGUCUAUCACAAGUAGAUGAAACCAAAUAUUAGAUUAAAGAAAUUGUGUGACAUUUUGUGAAAUAGGCUAUGAAAAUAUAUAAGCAUGAUAAUCAGUGAGACAAAUUGUUAUGCCUUCAGAUAGAGCCAGGAUAGCUGUUUCACCCUAUAUCCAAUCUUAAUGCAAAGCUAUGUAAUAGUUGUACGGUUAUUAUACAGACACACGAGUGGUAUCAAAAUUUUCACAUAAUUCUCAGCUAAUAAAACUGAAUAAGGGCAUUUAUGAAAAUUUGAAGCUGCCUCCUUCUUAAACAAAACCACAAUUAGGACCCAAAACCUCAAUAAAGAGGAUUGCUGACAUCAUAUACAGUCAUGACCACUGCUCCCUCUAAACUGCGCGCGUGCGUAAUUGCGCACUGCUGACACGGUCUCCGCGCACAGAAAAUCUGCGCUGCGCACAAAAAAAAGUCCAACCUAAAUUGUAAAUAAAAUAAACACGUAACAAUUCAUUCUGUGCUAUUUUUCAGUGUGAGUCAGUGAGUGACCGGUGACUGGCUGCUGCAGCCAAUGAUGCGAUUCACAUACGUAUUUACCAUAGACUGUAUAUAAUGGUAUUUACGCAGCUAAUCUACGUCAGACGUCCUUAUGUGCAGUCACCGUUGUUGUCAUAGAUAUGAAUGAGUAGAUAGGACACGCCCCUUUGAGCUGCGUGCUACUGCGAGGCUAAGCUAGUGGGGGCAAAGUUUCAGUGCAUUCCGUUGAUGUAGACGGCGUGAAAACGGAAACAACAAGUAUGCCGGCUCACUGUGCUGCAUACAGUUACACACUACGUCGUACGAUUGAGACAAGGAAACUUGGAAUGACUUUUCAUAGGUAAGAAUAGUUUUUGGCUCUUUUUUCAUUAUGAAAUCUUGUUGAGAGCUUCCAGUCUAUGAGAGCUAACUAGUUAGCCACUAGCAAAACGCUAAGGCGAGCUAGCAGUGGGGCUGGGCGAUAAAUCGAUUUUAUCGAUUAAUUCGAGUUUGUACUUAAUGUCGAUUUGUUUUUAUGAAAAUCGAUUCUCUCAUCAACAUCCGCACGAGCGCCUGCCUGCUGGCCUCCCGUAGUUCAGAGUGCGCGCCCCCCCCCGCGCUUGAUACACAAACAACAUGGCGGCGAGCGGUGCAGAUCUAAAGGUGCGUGUCCACUGGAUGCUAUUUCCCCGCACGGCAACGCACCGCAUCUGAAAAUCGCACGGACGGCGGUCACUAGCGGACCACAACAUGGUCACAUGACAGCGCUGAGCAACAGCGGGCCGCUACAUGCUGACGUCACCGAGCUUUCAGCUGGACAGUCCUGCAGACAAGUCGGAUAAACACAGCGGCUCGGCCGCAAACUUUCCCUUUUAUUUCUAAAAACACGUCAGCGAAAAGUAUUUCUUAAAGCAUUUGAAGCGAGAAAUAAUCUGCAGCAGCUGAAUCUGUCCUCGUUUUAUGUCACCGACGCCUAGUUUAGAAGUUUGAGGACAGUUUAACGAUGCGUGGAAUCUCCGCACGCUGCAUUCAAUUUGCAUAAAGUAGAAGUCAGUCUACUGUAUGCAAAUGAGCUGCAGCCCCCUCCGGGUAAAGACAACGGAUCCUAGCGGGAAACGCACCGCAACCGGACCAGCAUGCCACAUGUGGCGCAUUUCCAACUGCGAUCCAGUGUGUUUACCCAGAGAGGGCUGCAGCUCAUUUGCAUAAAGUAGACUGGACUCCAGCGUGAGGAGAUUAGGUAGGGGGUAAAAAAAAAAUCGGAUAAAUCGUGAAUCGGGAUUUUUUGUGAAAAAAAUCGAGGAUUUUUUUUUUAGGCCAUAUCGCCCAGCCCUAACUCAUGUAAAUCCAGAUUACCAUCUAUGUUCUUCCUCCAAACCCAUUUCAUGAUUGGGAUUACAGGCAGUUCUUUAGGACUGCUCUCAAAUCAUUGAAAUGUUACUAAACAAGGUUAUACUUAUCAAAUUAAAUAGCUCUGGUCUCCAGUAUAUUGGCGAAUUCGGUUCUUUGUACUUAAUUUAUUAGCAUGAUUUCUUUUUUAAUAUGUUGUGUACAGACUUAAUUACUUCUCUGUCUACUUUUCUUACUCCAUGUAGGUUUCCCAGAGACUAUGGGUUGAGGAGGAAUUGGAAGUUUGUCGGCUUAGACCUGGUGUCAUUCCAUCAGUGUUAAACUUCCCGGCUCAUCUUGGAAGAGUACGUGCCAGAAAGACCACGACCAAGCAGCCUUGAGAUCUUAGGCAGCGUCUCCCUGAGGUCCCUCUCUAUCUCCACACAUCCACCAACCACUGGAACACAUCUCCAAAGUUCUGCUGGACCAGCUCAGCUUCCCCUCAGAAGAAGUGCUGCCACCUGCCAGAUGAAGGAGCCUUUUGAGAGGCAGCUGGCAUCGUGAUUGGACUGUACUUUGGUCUGUUCCAAUCCAGCUUCAGCUCCAGAGACGGCAGGCGGGACGAGUCAACGGAGGCCGGGUGGACGAAGGCAUGCAGCUGAGUACAAUCCAGAAAACAACAGUGGAGGAGCCCAGCCCAGAGCCAGAACACAGUAGCAUGACCAAAGAACUACAGACUCUUCACAACCUGCUCAAACUCUUGGUACAGGACCUCACCACACGGGUCAAGAAGGUUUCUGUCUCAUUUCUACUCUGAAGCUCACCUUCUCCUGCUCAAACUGCUGACAAAUGUUUCUGCUGCUCUAAAGUCUGGUCUCCAGAACUUCCUAAAAACUCUCAAAGUCUCUUCUGCUGCAGGUUGCUUUGUAGAACUGUUCCAGAAAACCUCACUAAACCACAUGGAGGGGCCUCAAGAUAGUCGUCCAAAUGAAACCUUACAAAAACCAAACUAGCACAACCCAGACGCUAAAGUCUCCUGCAGCCUACCAGAGAACCUCUGAGAACAGAGAAUCAGGACAGGAACUCUUACCUUCUGGACAACCAACGCUGGUUCUCAAACAAGAAUACAGAAUGU
Long non-coding RNA from Amphiprion ocellaris (clown anemonefish), 8834 nucleotides. RefSeq lists it as uncharacterized. The transcript is spliced from 3 exons. Lineage: Eukaryota; Metazoa; Chordata; Actinopteri; Pomacentridae. The record is from RefSeq and is a predicted model, not a curated record.